GACAGAGGGUGCAACCGUUGUUCGGAAUUACUGGGCGUAAAGCGCGUGUAGGCGGCUAUGCAAGUCGGGUGUGAAAUCCCACGGCUCAACCGUGGAAGUGCACUCGAAACUACGUAGCUGGAGUUCUGGAGAGGGAGGUGGAAUGCUCGGUGUAGAGGUGAAAUUCGUAGAUAUCGAGUGGAACACCGGUGGCGAAGGCGGCCUUCUGGACAGAAACUGACGCUGAGACGCGAAAGCGUGGGGAGCAAACAGG
This 253-nucleotide ribosomal RNA is filed under the name uncultured bacterium. Its description in RNAcentral is "partial 16S ribosomal RNA". It matches the Rfam family "Bacterial small subunit ribosomal RNA", at positions 524 to 776 of the family's 1533-position model. The record is from RNAcentral.